GGAGAAGUUGAUUUUGGGAUACUUGACGGGGAUGAGCUUUACACAACCCAAUCAUCAGAUUGGGGGCUUAGGGUCCGUUCUCGGACAUUCCUUGUUUGGUACUUGUUGCGAGUACACAGUUGAGGAGCAUAGGAGUUGGGGGUGAUACCUGUUAUGGGUGCCGUUGCGGACCACAUUGUGGAGACUUUUUUGGGAGCUAGGGGCUCGCCCCGGUUUGAAACCGAGUGGGUCGCCAUUUUUCACGGGAAUAUGUUAAACGUGCAUGACACUCGCUGAAUUAUGGGUUUAAGCCUGGGUCGAGACUGGCAAGUGCGGUACCAUACCUGUUGUAGGAUAGAGUAUCAGUGUAAGAGGGAGUGGUGCUGACCUUUAGCCUCCUGAUUUGCUUUUGCCCCCGAUUGGCCCCGGUGGGAGUGCUUCACAGUUCCGGGGUGGUCUUUUGUGGGGGAUCAUAUCCGAGCCCGGAUGCAGGAUGGUAUCGUAACUCCCAGUUUCUUCGCUCGGUAGGGUGACGUUCUCUCGGUCGAUGGACCGUUUGGGCUCACUCCAAGAUGGGUCCAGGUGUACACACUUUGCACAGUUAAAACUAUACGUAUAGCCACGUCCUCGGUCAUGGACAACCUUGUAUCACGACAACUCUUCAUUGUUUUGGGAUAUCUCUACC
RNAcentral lists this long non-coding RNA (664 nucleotides) under Setaria viridis. Its description in RNAcentral is "long non-coding RNA (SVIR_LNC005514)". Lineage: Eukaryota; Viridiplantae; Streptophyta; Magnoliopsida; Poales; Poaceae. The record is from RNAcentral.